AUUGAACGCUGGCGGCAUGCUUUACACAUGCAAGUCGAGCGGCAGCGCGGGGGCAACCCUGGCGGCGAGCGGCGAACGGGUGAGUAAUGCAUCGGAACGUACCCUGGAGUGGGGGAUAACGCCGCGAAAGCGGCGCUAAUACCGCAUAUGCUCUGAGGAGGAAAGUGGGGGGACCGCAAGGCCUCACGCUCUGGGAGCGGCCGAUGUCCGAUUAGCUAGUUGGUGGGUAAAGGCUUACCAAGGCGACGAUCGGUAGCUGGUCUGAGAGGAUGAUCAGCCACACUGGGACUGAGACACGGCCCAGACUCCUACGGGAGGCAGCAGUGGGGAAUAUUGGACAAUGGGCGCAAGCCUGAUCCAGCAAUGCCGCGUGUGUGAAGAAGGCCUGCGGGUUGUAAAGCACUUUCAGUGGGGAAGAACAGGUCCGGGUUAAUACCCUGGGCGUCUGACGUUACCCACAGAAGAAGCACCGGCUAACUCCGUGCCAGCAGCCGCGGUAA
Molecule: ribosomal RNA, 500 nt
Filed under: uncultured bacterium
Lineage: Bacteria
Description: bacterial SSU rRNA
Rfam family: Bacterial small subunit ribosomal RNA
Source: RNAcentral